RNAcentral lists this ribosomal RNA (223 nucleotides) under uncultured archaeon. RNAcentral describes it as "partial 16S ribosomal RNA". It matches the Rfam family "Archaeal small subunit ribosomal RNA", at positions 497 to 724 of the family's 1478-position model. The record is from RNAcentral.
GAGAUUAUUGGGCCUAAGCAUCCGUAGCUCGUUUUGUAAGUUUUCGGUUAAAUCCAUGCGCUUAACGUAUGGGCUGCCGGGAAUACUGCAUAACUAGGAAGUGGGAGAGGUAGACGGUACUCGGUAGGAAGGGGUAAAAUCCUUUGAUCUAUUGAUGACCACCUGUGGCGAAGGCGGUCUACCAGAACACGUUCGACGGUGAGGAAUUGGCGGGGGAGCACAA